This 433-nucleotide ribosomal RNA is filed under the name uncultured bacterium. RNAcentral's name for it is "partial 16S ribosomal RNA". It matches the Rfam family "Bacterial small subunit ribosomal RNA", at positions 29 to 507 of the family's 1533-position model. The record is from RNAcentral.
AGCGAACGCUGGCGGCAGGCUUAACACAUGCAAGUCGAGCGGGCCUUUCGGGGUCAGCGGCGGACGGGUGCGUAACGCGUGGGAACGUGCCCUCUGGUUCGGAAUAACUCAGGGAAACUUGAGCUAAUACCGGAUACGCCCUUUUGGGGAAAGGCUUGCUGCCGGAGGAUCGGCCCGCGUCUGAUUAGCUAGUUGGUGAGGUAACGGCUCACCAAGGCGACGAUCAGUAGCUGGUCUGAGAGGAUGAUCAGCCACACUGGGACUGAGACACGGCCCAGACUCCUACGGGAGGCAGCAGUGGGGAAUAUUGGACAAUGGGCGCAAGCCUGAUCCAGCCAUGCCGCGUGAGUGAUGAAGGCCUUAGGGUUGUAAAGCUCUUUUAUCCGGGACGAUAAUGACGGUACCGGAGGAAUAAGCCCCGGCUAACUUCGUG